This 105-nucleotide transfer RNA is filed under the name Deltaproteobacteria bacterium. RNAcentral describes it as "tRNA-OTHER". The record is from RNAcentral. Lineage: Bacteria; Pseudomonadati; Myxococcota; Myxococcia.
GGGUGGGUCGCGAGGCUACACAAGCGAUCGGAGUACAGACUUAGUCUCAGACUCAGGCUGAAUGAUCCAACGAUGACAGCGCAGGUUCGAUUCCUGCCCCGCCCA